UACGUAGGGGGCAAGCGUUAUCCGGAUUUACUGGGUGUAAAGGGGGCGCAGGCGGCGAUGCAAGCCAGGAGUGAAAGCCCGGGGCCCAACCCCGGGACUGCUCUUGGAACUGCGUGGCUGGAGUGCAGGAGGGGCAGGCGGAAUUCCUGGUGUAGCGGUGAAAUGCGUAGAUAUCAGGAGGAACACCGGUGGCGAAGGCGGCCUGCUGGACUGCAACUGACGUUGAGGCCCGAAAGCGUGGGGAGCAAACAGG
This 253-nucleotide ribosomal RNA is filed under the name uncultured bacterium. RNAcentral describes it as "partial 16S ribosomal RNA". It matches the Rfam family "Bacterial small subunit ribosomal RNA", at positions 524 to 776 of the family's 1533-position model. The record is from RNAcentral.